CCUACGGGAGGCUGCAGUGGGGGAUAUUGCACAAUGGGGGGAACCCUGAUGCAGCGACGCCGCGUGGGUGAAGAAGCGCCUCGGCGCGUAAAGCCCUGUCAGCAGGGAAGAAAAUGACGGUACCUGAAGAAGAAGCCCCGGCUAACUACGUGCCAGCAGCCGCGGGAAUACGUAGGGGGCAAGGGUUAUCCGGAUUUACUGGGGGUAAAGGGGGCGCAGACGGCGCUGCAAGCCAGGAGUGAAAGCCCGGGGCCCAACCCCGGGACUGCUCUUGGAACUGCGUGGCUGGAGUGCAGGAGGGGCAGGCGGAAUUCCUGGUGUAGCGGUGAAAUGCGUAGAUAUCAGGAGGAACACCGGUGGCGAAGGCGGCCUGCUGGACUGCAACUGACGUUGAGGCCCGAAAGCGUGGGGAGCAAACAGGAUUAGAUACCCGUGUAGUC
RNAcentral lists this ribosomal RNA (440 nucleotides) under uncultured bacterium. RNAcentral's name for it is "partial 16S ribosomal RNA". It matches the Rfam family "Bacterial small subunit ribosomal RNA", at positions 338 to 795 of the family's 1533-position model. The record is from RNAcentral.